ACCGUGUUUUCCCGGUUUUCUGUAUCAUCCAUAUCGUGGAAAAACGUCAAAACACGGUGG
RNAcentral lists this microRNA precursor (60 nucleotides) under Acyrthosiphon pisum (pea aphid). RNAcentral's name for it is "microRNA api-mir-3039 precursor". Lineage: Eukaryota; Metazoa; Arthropoda; Insecta; Hemiptera; Aphididae. The record is from miRBase by way of RNAcentral.